UACGUAGGGGGCAAGCGUUGUCCGGAAUCAUUGGGCGUAAAGCGCGCGUAGGCGGCCCGGUAAGUCCGUUGUAAAAGUCGAAGGCUCAACCUUCGAAAGCCGAUGGAUACUGCCGGGCUAGAGUCCGGAAGAGGCGAGUGGAAUUCCUGGUGUAGCGGUGGAAUGCGCAGAUAUCAGGAGGAACACCGGUGGCGAAGGCGGGUCUCUGGGCCGAUACUGACGCUGAGGAGCGAAAGCGUGGGGAGCGAACAGG
This 253-nucleotide ribosomal RNA is filed under the name uncultured bacterium. RNAcentral describes it as "partial 16S ribosomal RNA". It matches the Rfam family "Bacterial small subunit ribosomal RNA", at positions 524 to 776 of the family's 1533-position model. The record is from RNAcentral.